AAGAGGCAACAUCUGCCCAUGGGUGUUGUGUUGGAGUCAGUAUCUGUGGAUUAAUUACCCCGAAGGCACCUGUCUACCCUUUCCACACACACACACACACACACACACACACACACACACACACACACACAGGCUAUGAAGACACAAACACACCCAGCGGACUUCAAAAUGUCACAACACCUUCCUUGCCAGUGCCAAAUAAUACCAGCGCUUCCAACCAAAGAGCCGUGGGUGUUGUUGGCCAAACCAGAGGCCCGCUGCCACUUCAGCUGGUCAUCGUCUCCUCCUCUGACUUCUGUCACAUGAUGGGGCAAGAAAACGAUCUGUCGGCAUGAGUAGUGUGACUGUUAACAGGUUAGGCUUAGCUUAGGGUUUAACUUAACAUUUGUUGUGUGAACAGUCUUGUUUGGAGUCAUUGCACGGACACACUGGAGUUACAGUGAAACAAAGACACGCCUCCCCUGAACUGGUCGGGGGUUAGGGUUCUGGUUUUUGUUCCUGAGAGCCCAACAGCUGCAGCAUUUCUUUAUAUUUUAAGUCUGAGCACAUCCUGUAGCUUCUACCCCUCCUGUGUCGACACAGUGACGGGGAAAUGUCCAGCCGCAUUUAGCAAGCAAGCUCCGUUUCACAUUUAGAUGAAAGAAGAUCCCUCCAGUGGUGUCCGUCCUUGGGCUUGCAGUGGCAGCGUUGGGCUUGAGCUUGUCUUCCAGCUUCCGUCGUGCCAUUAUGAACCCGAGGCAACACAACAUGAUGUAGUCGUGCUUCUGCUUUCACACCAACACGCUCAGAUGCAUUGAAACCUGAAUUCAUUUACAAUAUGUAGCAGCACUUUCAUUCAAUGUAGAGGCAGAGCUGUGCUUUAACCAAUCCUCCACCAGUUUCACUGUUUCACCGCUCAGGCUCCUUCGGAUUCAGGUCAGGGUCAGGGUCAGGGUCAGGGUCAGGGUCAGGAAAACAGUCCGUGCUGCAGAUGUGCAGGUCAGUCAACAAACAGACAAGAAGAGGUUUGUGACUUGGCGUAAACUGACUGCUUUUUUUCUUAAAUUCUGGUUUUCAUCUUAACGCUGGUAUGGACAGGCCAUUUCAAGUCUGAAACCCGUAUCAAGCUCUAAAACACCAUGAUCUAAGGUACACAUGAUGUGAAGUAAACCCAGAAAACAGGCCCACUGUGCAAUGAAGCUCCAUCCAGUGUUCAGCUGGAGCAGAACCGUUCGAUCAGGCGCUCUGCUUGUGCUUCGUUCUCACUCUUUCAGCACAUAGAAGAAAAAAAAAGCCGUCAGGAUCAAAAAAUCUGUCCCGUCUCACAAACAAACUCUUGAUUUCCUCACGCAGGCCCUGUCUUUUCGACGUGACCCUCUGCAGCUGUAAAGCAGUUGGUGGUUUAUAAGGUGAAGACUGGACCGUCGUUACCAGGAGGAGUGUGUUUGUGCUCUUCACAGCCUUCUUCACUCAUGAAUUACAAAAAACCCAACAAACAAGAGGCUGGAACAUAAUUCAUGUCCUGCUUGAGCUCUGACAAUAAAUAAUAAAGUCCCGCAGGCUGCAGUGAAGGAGAGGUCUGUGGGUAACCGAGUCUGUUUGGUUUGGGCUUUUUAACUAAAUGGACAAUACAAUCAGUGGUCCAUUCAGGUAGCACAGGUGCAGCUGUGUGGCUGCUUUCCUGGGCAGCAGGUGGUGGUACAAAAGACGUUUUAGCACCUUGUGCCUCGACACAACCUUAGCAACAUAAAAAAAGCUGUUAAAACGUCAAAGCUGCAGCCAGAUGAAGAACUCCUCCGACUGAGCUUCAGUCCCGUUUACAGCUUCAGGGCCAAAGUUUCCCCAAAGUCAGACUCACAUCAGCUCCAGUCCCGUCUUCUGUUUUAUUUGCUGAAAUAUUCAUGCUUCACAUUAACUUUUAGAAGUCGAGUUGCUUUUGAGUCAUCUUCUGAGAUUCUGCUCCCGCUCAGCCGGGCCAGCUGAUGUAAUGAGCACCGGGCCUGUGCAGGAGAUCUGCUGCUGGACGGGGAGUCAGAGCUGCACACGGCGCUAACGAACGAACGUGGCUCGACUGGAGGAGGCAGAGCUCACGCUGGUACAUUCAAACGUCCGCGCACUCAACCCUCCAAUGUCCACUGAACCCACUUGUUUACUAACCAACUGGUCCCAUACUGUACAGGUCACCUACAGCCACGUCUACCAAACCCCUCAGAGUGUGUUUGAUGAGUGAGUGUGUGUCUGUGUGUGAGUGUGAGUGAGUGUGUGUGAGUGUGUGUGAGUGUGUGUGAGUGUGUGUGUGUGAGUGUGUGUGAGUGUGUGUGUGUGAGUGUUUGAUGUGCGUUACUGAGCUCUGUAGGUAAACACGUAUCUGCUGUAACUCCCUCACUGUUGUGAUAAUUUAUUGAACGUUGUAUUUAUACAUGACCAUGAUAAUAAAGCACCACAUGAGUAACUC
Molecule: long non-coding RNA, 2434 nt
Organism: Stegastes partitus (bicolor damselfish)
Lineage: Eukaryota; Metazoa; Chordata; Actinopteri; Pomacentridae
Exons: 2
Source: RefSeq, a predicted model, not a curated record